RNAcentral lists this transfer RNA (76 nucleotides) under Nitriliruptorales bacterium. RNAcentral describes it as "tRNA-Ala". It matches the Rfam family "tRNA". From Rfam's summary of the family: Transfer RNA (tRNA) molecules are approximately 80 nucleotides in length. Their secondary structure includes four short double-helical elements and three loops (D, anti-codon, and T loops). Further hydrogen bonds mediate the characteristic L-shaped molecular structure. tRNAs have two regions of fundamental functional importance: the anti-codon, which is responsible for specific mRNA codon recognition, and the 3' end, to which the tRNAs corresponding amino acid is attached (by aminoacyl-tRNA synthetases). tRNAs cope with the degeneracy of the genetic code in two manners: having more than one tRNA (with a specific anti-codon) for a particular amino acid; and 'wobble' base-pairing, i.e. permitting non-standard base-pairing at the 3rd anti-codon position. RNAcentral also lists the same sequence under 1 other name. The record is from RNAcentral. Lineage: Bacteria; Bacillati; Actinomycetota; Nitriliruptoria; Nitriliruptorales.
GGGCCCGUAGCUCAGCUGGCAGAGCGCCUGCUUUGCAAGCAGGAAGUCGUCGGUUCGAAUCCGAUCGGGUCCACCA